AAAGAAAUCAUUUGGGGCGGUGCAUUAUUUUGGGACGGUUAAAGUAUUUGGGGAUGUGGGCCGCAUUCUUCUGGGACGGUUAUACCUUUUGAGACGAAGGGUUUAUCUUCUCAAUCUCUCUGCCACGAACGACAAUAAUCUUCGCUGAGAUCCUCCUCCUUCCCAAAUUAGACUAGAUCAGAGCUCCUUUGUCUUCCGAAGCAUCUUCCAAAGGCGCCGCAUUUGGAUUACAACAGUGAUUUUCCAUUCUUCCCGGCACACCUCGGCGAAUUUCUGUCGUCCAGCGUAAAGAAACACUGUUACUCCCAAAACCAUAGCCACAGUCCACUUGAUUGAGUUAGCUGUAUCUUCUCAAAUCUUCAGCUUUAAAUUCAUUCAACAACCCAUAUAAGUUAAAAAUUGAAGAAUUAUAGUUUCGUCAACUCUUCAUUCUUAUCACCAAUUUAA
Long non-coding RNA from Helianthus annuus (common sunflower), 447 nucleotides. RefSeq lists it as uncharacterized. The record is from RefSeq and is a predicted model, not a curated record. The transcript has 3 exons. NCBI's taxonomy places the organism in Eukaryota, Viridiplantae, Streptophyta, Magnoliopsida, Asterales, Asteraceae.